This 468-nucleotide ribosomal RNA is filed under the name uncultured bacterium. RNAcentral's name for it is "partial 16S ribosomal RNA". It matches the Rfam family "Bacterial small subunit ribosomal RNA", at positions 28 to 507 of the family's 1533-position model. The record is from RNAcentral.
GACGAACGCUGGCGGCGUGCUUAACACAUGCAAGUCGAACGGAAAGGCCCUGCUUUUGUGGGGUGCUCGAGUGGCGAACGGGUGAGUAACACGUGAGUAACCUGCCCUUGACUUUGGGAUAACUUCAGGAAACUGGGGCUAAUACCGGAUAGGAGCUCCUGCUGCAUGGUGGGGGUUGGAAAGUUUCGGCGGUUGGGGAUGGACUCGCGGCUUAUCAGCUUGUUGGUGGGGUAGUGGCUUACCAAGGCUUUGACGGGUAGCCGGCCUGAGAGGGUGACCGGCCACAUGGGGACUGAGGUACGGCCCAGACUCGUACGGGAGGCAGCAGUGGGGAAUAUUGCACAAUGGGCGGAAGCCUGAUGCAGCAACGCCGCGUGCGUGAUGACGGCCUUCGGGUUGUAAACCGCUUUCGCCUGUGACGAAGCGUGAGUGACGGUAAUGGAUAAAGAAGCACCGGCUAACUACGUG